GAUGAACGCUGGCGGCGUGCCUAAUACAUGCAAGUCGAGCGAACGGACGAGAAGCUUGCUUCUCUGAUGUUAGCGGCGGACGGGUGAGUAACACGUGGAUAACCUACCUAUAAGACUGGGAUAACUUCGGGAAACCGGAGCUAAUACCGGAUAAUAUUUUGAACCGCAUGGUUCAAAAGUAAAAGACGGUCUUGCUGUCACUUAUAGAUGGAUCCGCGCUGCAUUAGCUAGUUGGUAAGGUAACGGCUUACCAAGGCAACGAUGCAUAGCCGACCUGAGAGUGUGAUCGGCCACACUGGAACUGAGACACGGUCCAGACUCCUACGGGAGGCAGCAGUAGGGAAUCUUCCGCAAUGGGCGAAAGCCUGACGGAGCAACGCCGCGUGAGUGAUGAAGGUCUUCGGAUCGUAAAACUCUGUUAUUAGGGAAGAACAUAUGUGUAAGUAACUGUGCACAUCUUGACGGUACCUAAUCAGAAAGCCACGGCUAACUACGUG
Molecule: ribosomal RNA, 497 nt
Filed under: uncultured bacterium
Lineage: Bacteria
Description: partial 16S ribosomal RNA
Rfam family: Bacterial small subunit ribosomal RNA
Source: RNAcentral